This 488-nucleotide long non-coding RNA is filed under the name Gossypium barbadense (sea-island cotton). Its description in RNAcentral is "long non-coding RNA (GBAR_LNC017124)". The record is from RNAcentral. Lineage: Eukaryota; Viridiplantae; Streptophyta; Magnoliopsida; Malvales; Malvaceae.
AUGAUGUCGACGGUGUUGAUGAUGGAGUUGUUUCAGUCUCUUCCAAAGAUGAGAGGAGAAAUCAACCUACAGAUGCAGAGCCUGUGGCUUAUAUUACCAACUAUGAUUUCCAUCCAGUACAAAUCAAUGAGCGAGUGGCAAAACAACCUAGGAGGAAGAGACCCCAUUUAAGAUCAAGCCAUGGUCAUCAACAACCUUUGCAGAUCCAUGGUGAUCAACAACCUAUGUCAAACCAUAUUACCAACUAUGAUUCCCAUCCAGUACAAAUCAAUGAGCGAGUGGCAAAACAACCUAGGAGGAAGAGACCUCGUUUAAGAUCAAGCCAUGGUCAUCAACAACCUUUGCCGAUCCAUGGUGAUCAACAAUCUGUACUAAGCCAUGGUGAUCAACAACCAAUGUCAAACCACAGUGAUCAACAAUCUGUACCAAGCUAUGGUGAUCAACAACCUGGACCACGGCAUUAUGAACAUGUAAAUGCCGAGUCAAUA